Molecule: small RNA, 98 nt
Filed under: Staphylococcus sp.
Lineage: Bacteria; Bacillati; Bacillota; Bacilli; Caryophanales; Staphylococcaceae
Description: Guanidine-I sequence
Rfam family: Guanidine-I riboswitch aptamer
About the family: This family represents a conserved RNA structure found upstream of the ykkC and yxkD genes in Bacillus subtilis and related genes in other bacteria. The function of this family is unclear although it has been suggested that it may function to switch on efflux pumps and detoxification systems in response to harmful environmental molecules. Nelson showed that this riboswitch senses and responds to guanidine and it was renamed Guanidine-I riboswitch.
Source: RNAcentral
AUAAAAGCUUUCUAGGGUUCCGCAACGCUUAAUGUUGGACUGGUCCGAGAGGAAGCCACAUGUUAAAUGUGACACGGAAGGAUAAAAGCCUGGGAGAU